This 2255-nucleotide unclassified non-coding RNA is filed under the name Aplysia californica (California sea hare). RNAcentral describes it as "uncharacterized LOC118477785, transcript variant X2". Lineage: Eukaryota; Metazoa; Mollusca; Gastropoda; Aplysiida; Aplysiidae. The record is from RNAcentral.
GCACCUAAGAUUAGCAAGCUGCUGCCAAUACCUAGUGUUUUUAAAAAAAAUACAUUUAUAAGCAUUCUGGUAUAACCUUGCGGCAGGGUCAGCAACUAAGAUUAGCAAGCUGCUGCCUAUAAAACUACAGUAGACGAACAUUGGCUUCUGACUUACUAUAUAUGAAAAAACGAACAUGCAAUUCUCCUUGCAAAUUCUUAAUUGAAUCAUUCGAUGACAAUGCACCAUUUGUAUUUCAAACGAUUGUUGGUUUCAUUUCCCUUUGUGUUGUUCAACUUUUUUCCUUUUGCUGUUCGAGCUGCCCAUGUAAGUAGGGCCAUGCAUGCUUUUACACUUUACUGAAAUUGUAUUCAGAUAUUCUCCACUCUCUUUUUUAGGUAUUUAAGAUGUAGCACACGUUACUGAAAUUGUAUUCAGAUAUUCUCCACUCUUAUUUUAGGUAGUUAAGAUGUUGCAAAAGAAUGGUAGGAUUCUCUUCAAAUGAAGAAAUAAUUACUUGAUUGAUUGCUUAUUUCAUGCUACAGUGAAAAGAACGGGAAGUAGUUUUUACUGGCAGAAAAAGCACCUAAUAUUACCAAGCUUCUGCCAAUAAUCUGGCCUAGGAGUAAAGUUUCUGAAGUGAGAGAUAUUGUUAUUACAAAACGACUGAUACAGCCCCUAAGCUUAGCAUGCUGCAGUCAAUGAUGAAAUAGAAUAGGGUAUUUAUAUAUUGCAGAUACAGCACCUAAAAAUAACAAGCUGCUGCCUAGAGAAUCCUAAAAAAGAUGAAGAUUGAUUGAAUCUUUAUAGGCCAGGGCUUAGCCAUUUUAAGAUACAGCAGCUAAGAACAGUAACGUGAUGCCUAUGUAUGAAUUCUUCUUCCGAGCGAGGAUGUUCAGCACUCCUUCCCUCCUACCACCAUCCUGGCAAAGGACCGGCACUGGAGUACCCAAAUAGAGGCGUCUCUUAUGGACCAGACAGAGUACAUCCUGUUUCAAGAGGUGUAUUCUGGAAGAGCGUCGAGUCAUGUAGGACCAUACAAGAGAAAAGAAUACAUCUUGUGUCAAGAGAUUUGCUGUGGAAGAGAAUCGAGUCCUGUAGGAGCAGCGGAGAGUAAAGGAUGUUCAGCACUCCUUCCCUCCUACCACCAUCCUGGCAAAGGACCGGCACUGGAGUACCCAAAUAGAGGCGUCUCUUAUGGACCAGACAGAGUACAUCCUGUUUCAAGAGGUGUAUUCUGGAAGAGCGUCGAGUCAUGUAGGACCAUACAAGAGAAAAGAAUACAUCUUGUGUCAAGAGAUUUGCUGUGGAAGAGAAUCGAGUCCUGUAGGAGCAGCGGAGAGUAAAGGAUGUUCAGCACUCCUUCCCUCCUACCACCAUCCUGGCAAAGGACCGGCACUGGAGUACCCAAAUAGAGGCGUCUCUUAUGGACCAGACAGAGUACAUCCUGUUUCAAGAGGUGUAUUCUGGAAGAGCGUCGAGUCAUGUAGGACCAUACAAGAGAAAAGAAUACAUCUUGUGUCAAGAGAUUUGCUGUGGAAGAGAAUCGAGUCCUGUAGGAGCAGCGGAGAGUAAAGGAUGUUCAGCACUCCUUCCCUCCUACCACCAUCCUGGCAAAGGACCGGCACUGGAGUACCCAAAUAGAGGCGUCUCUUAUGGACCAGACAGAGUACAUCCUGUUUCAAGAGAUGUAUUCUGGAAGAGCGUCGAGUCAUGUAGGACCAUACAAGAGAAAAGAAUACAUCUUGUGUCAAGAGAUUUGCUGUGGAAGAGAAUCGAGUCCUGUAGGAGCAGCGGAGAGUAAAGGAUGUUCAGCACUCCUUCCCUCCUACCACCAUCCUGGCAAAGGACCGGCACUGGAGUACCCAAAUAGAGGCGUCUCUUAUGGACCAGACAGAGUACAUCCUGUUUCAAGAGGUGUAUUCUGGAAGAGCGUCGAGUCAUGUAGGACCAUACAAGAGAAAAGAAUACAUCUUGUGUCAAGAGAUUUGCUGUGGAAGAGAAUCGAGUCCUGUAGGAGCAGCGGAGAGUAAAGGUGAGAAAUGUGCAGUCUUGUUUGUUUUCUUUCCCUUUGAAAUUGACUGAUGUUAGUGAAAAGAUAUAAUAAGAGUCAGAAGACCAAGUAGUAGGCUAAAUGGCAGAGACAGCAAUUAAGAUUAGCAGGCUGCUGCCAGUAACUAGUGUUUCUUUUAUACAUUUAUAAGCAUUUUGAUAAAAAUGUGUGGCAGAGACAGCACCUAAGAUUAGCAAGCUGCUGCCAAUAACUAGUGAUGUUU